CCUACGGGGGGCAGCAGUGAGGAAUAUUGGUCAAUGGGCGCGAGCCUGAACCAGCCAAGUCGCGUGAGGGAAGACGGCCCUACGGGUUGUAAACCUCUUUUGCCGGGGAACAACGGGCGCCACGUGAGGCGCCACUGGGAGUACCCGGCGAAAAAGCAUCGGCAAACUCCGUGCCAGCAGCCGCGGUAAUAAGAAGGAUGCGAGCGUUAUCCGGAUUUAGUGGGUUUAAGGGGUGGGUAGGCGGAGCGUUAAGCAAGUGGGAAAAUUUGGGGGUACAACCCGUUCUCGCCAUUGAAACUGGCGCUCUUGAGUGGACGAGAAGAAGGCGGAAUGCGUGGUGUAGCGGUGAAAUGCAUAGAUAUCACGCAGAACCCCGAUUGCGAAGGCAGCAGGCCGGCGUGCGACUGACGCUGAGGCACGAAAGCGCGGGUAUCGAACAGGAUUAGAUACCCGAGUAGUC
RNAcentral lists this ribosomal RNA (460 nucleotides) under uncultured bacterium. RNAcentral describes it as "partial 16S ribosomal RNA". It matches the Rfam family "Bacterial small subunit ribosomal RNA", at positions 338 to 795 of the family's 1533-position model. The record is from RNAcentral.